Molecule: long non-coding RNA, 1270 nt
Filed under: Homo sapiens (human)
Lineage: Eukaryota; Metazoa; Chordata; Mammalia; Primates; Hominidae
Description: ERCC6L2 antisense RNA 1 (ERCC6L2-AS1)
Source: RNAcentral
CAAGGUGGCUGGCCGGCAGGCCAAUGGCGGCCAACGCCACUUCCGGCCGCCCUCCGAGCAUCGCUCUUCGGCAACCCGAAGCCACAGGAUGGAGGAGGGGGAUCCCAGCAAAGGUAGCGACUAAGGGGACCCAAGCAGAACGGGAGGGCGACGUCCGGAGCGGCGGCAGAGCCAGGGGACGCUGUGUGAGGCUGGCAAAGCGGUGUUCACCUAGUUCUCUCGGGCUCCGCCGCCGCCGGAGGAGGACAGGAGGCCGGCAAGGCGACCCCCAAAUCUUCCUAGGCUCUGACUUCCGUCUCCUAACCCCCGCAAAUUCCAACCCGGUCUUGGAAAAUCCCGCGAGAACGGGCUCCCGAAUUGUCAUUGGGAUCUCGCGAGAACGAAAUCUUCCUUUCUGUGGGCGGAGCAAUCUUCCCGAUGUCUCUUCCCUCUGAGGCCAGUAGCAGGAAGGGCCUCGGGAGUUGCGAGUGUCGCGAGGUUUGAGGUCGCUCGGUGGGCCGGGCGCUGUGCGAAGCUAGAAAUAACUGGGGGCAUGGAGAAUGCGGUGGCUGUAAAGGGCCGCUGAGGCGGUGGAGGCCUGGCAGAGAGCGUCCCCGCGGUCGCGGCUUCUGGCUUCUCUGUGGAGCUUGGUUCUUCCGUGGUGGUGCAGCACCCCAGGAACUUCAGGAACCAGUCCUUCCUUGGAGAGCUCCCCGGGACAGCCACGGGGGCCAAGUGAAACUAGCGCGUUUUCUUGGAUCCUACACUUUAUAGUGAGUCAUAAAUACUUUAAAUACAAAGCCAACAACAUUUGCUGCAAAUAAACGUAAAAAUACUGUUAAAGUGUAAAGUGUUUUCCUCCGUACCAUCUGACGUUUCUGGCGGUUCGUUGAACGCGAGAGAACGCUGAGCCGUCUGCACUGAGCCCGGGAGCAUCUUCAGGGCAGCGCCGCCCACGCGCGAGGUGAAUGAAGGACACGGCCUCUUGACACUCCCAGGCAGCACAGAUAGACGGAUCCUCUACCGCUGAUUGCAGCUGGAAAAGAUUCUGAGGGCUCACCUGAGUAAUCCAGGAUCAUCUUCCCAUUUCCAGGUCUCUGCCCUUGAUCACAUCAGCAGAAUCCUUUUGCCAUUGGCUAGAAGUGACCCCAGGAUUUUUUUAUUAUCAAGAGAGACUAGAAGAAUCAUGAGACUUUUCCUAGUUGCCUUUCAAGAAUAUGAAGAAAAAAAUGGUUCUCAAAGUGGGUUUGAAUGAGUAUUGUUCCAAUAAAUGAACUUAUAUUCAUAUUUC